RNAcentral lists this ribosomal RNA (253 nucleotides) under uncultured bacterium. Its description in RNAcentral is "partial 16S ribosomal RNA". It matches the Rfam family "Bacterial small subunit ribosomal RNA", at positions 524 to 776 of the family's 1533-position model. The record is from RNAcentral.
UACGUAGGGGGCUAGCGUUGUCCGGAAUCAUUGGGCGUAAAGCGCGUGUAGGCGGCCCGGUAAGUCCGCUGUGAAAGUCGGGGGCUCAACCCUCGGAUGCCGGUGGAUACUGUCGGGCUCGAGUGCGGAAGAGGCGAGUGGAAUUCCUGGUGUAGCGGUGAAAUGCGCAGAUAUCAGGAGGAACACCAAUUGCGAAGGCAGCUCGCUGGGACGUUACUGACGCUGAGGCGCGAAGGCGUGGGGAGCGAACGGG